UACAGAGGUCUCAAGCGUUGUUCGGAUUCAUUGGGCGUAAAGGGUGCGUAGGCGGCGCGGUAAGUCGGGUGUGAAAUCUCGGGGCUUAACUCCGAAACUGCAUUCGAUACUGCCGUGCUUGAGGACUGGAGAGGAGACUGGAAUUUACGGUGUAGCGGUGAAAUGCGUAGAGAUCCGGAAGAACACCGGUGGCGAAGGCGGCCUGCUGGGGUCUGGCUGACGCUGAGGCGCGACAGCGUGGGGAGCAAACAGG
RNAcentral lists this ribosomal RNA (253 nucleotides) under uncultured bacterium. RNAcentral describes it as "partial 16S ribosomal RNA". It matches the Rfam family "Bacterial small subunit ribosomal RNA", at positions 524 to 776 of the family's 1533-position model. The record is from RNAcentral.